CGGUCGUUGGUGAGGUCUUCAAGAUCGUGAAGAGCGUGGCCAACUUUGAACAUGUUCAAAACAAUCGUGGUGCGGUCGUGGCGAAAUCAGGUCGUAGUAGAAGCGUAGUGAGAGCGCACUAAGAUCGUAGUAAGAUCGCAAAGGUCGCUGUACAAUCGUAGCGAGAGCGUAGCGAAAGCGUGAUUCUAUUCGGAGAGACUGCGCUACGAUCGCACAGCGACGUUAUCACGACCUCACUACGACCAUCACGUUCUCACUGCGACCCAACUACGCUUCCUCUACGACUAUACCACGCUGUUCAAGACCAUAGUACGAUUCUAGUACGCCCUUGCCGUCCUCAUCACGCUCUUCUUACGACCUGACUACGUUCACACUACGACCAUCAUUCUCAUUGUCAUUUUCACAUAAAAUAUAUAAAAAAGCUCCCUAGAUUUUGUUUGUUUGAAUUUAAUUAUCCAUUUGCUCUAACGGCUCAACCAUGUUUCUCGUUUUUAUAUAGAUUAGACCGUUGGGUUUCCCGUUUAAAUGGUUUAACACUAG
This 540-nucleotide long non-coding RNA is filed under the name Mytilus galloprovincialis (Mediterranean mussel). The record is from RNAcentral. Lineage: Eukaryota; Metazoa; Mollusca; Bivalvia; Mytilida; Mytilidae.